UUACUGUUAUUACUGUUAUUACUGUUAGUACUGUUAUUACUAGUUUAUUACUGUUAUUACUGUUAGUACUAGUUUAUUACUAGUUUAUUACUGUUAGUACUGUUAUUACUAGUUUAUUACUGUUAGUACUGUUAUUACUUUUAUUACUGUUAGUACUGUUAUUACUAGUUUAUUACUGUUAGUACUGUUAUUACUGUUAUUACUGUUAGUACUGUUAUUACUAGUUUAUUACUGUUAGUACUGUUAUUACUUUUAUUACUGUUAGUACUGUUAUUACUAGUUUAUUACUGUCAUUACUAGUUUAUUACUGUUAGUACUGUUAGUACUAGUUUAUUACUGUUAGUACUGUUAUUACUAGUUUAUUACUGUUAUUACUGUUAUUACUGUUAGUACUAGUUUAUUACUAGUUUAUUACUGUUAGUACUGUUAUUACUAGUUUAUUACAUCCUACAGUGUAAUACAUUAUGUUUAUUACAUCCUACAGUGUAAUACAUUGUUAUUAUAUCCUACAGUGUAAUACAUUAUGUUAUUACAUCCUACAGUGUAAUACAUUAUGUUUAUUACAUCCUACAGUGUAAUACAUUAUGUUAUUACAUCCUACAGUGUAAUACAUUAUGUUAUUACAUCCUACAGUGUAAUACAUUAUGUUUAUUACAUCCUACAGUGUAAUACAUUAUGUUAUUACAUCCUACAGU
RNAcentral lists this long non-coding RNA (695 nucleotides) under Salmo salar (Atlantic salmon). RNAcentral's name for it is "lncRNA (ENSSSAG00000106598.1)". Lineage: Eukaryota; Metazoa; Chordata; Actinopteri; Salmoniformes; Salmonidae. The record is from RNAcentral.